UUUGAGAGGCUGAGGCAGGAGGAUUGCUUGAGCCCAGGAAUUUAAGACCAGCCUGGGCAACAAAGUGAGACCCCCAUCUCUACAAAAA
This 88-nucleotide microRNA precursor is filed under the name Chlorocebus sabaeus (green monkey). RNAcentral's name for it is "miRNA (ENSCSAG00000027871.1)". The record is from RNAcentral. Lineage: Eukaryota; Metazoa; Chordata; Mammalia; Primates; Cercopithecidae.